This 588-nucleotide ribosomal RNA is filed under the name uncultured bacterium. RNAcentral's name for it is "partial 16S ribosomal RNA". It matches the Rfam family "Bacterial small subunit ribosomal RNA", at positions 355 to 1376 of the family's 1533-position model. The record is from RNAcentral.
UGGGGAAUAUUGGACAAUGGGCGCAAGCCUGAUCCAGCAAUGCCGCGUGUGUGAAGAAGGCCUUCGGGUUGUAAAGCACUUUUAUCAGGAGCGAAACGCUGUCGGCUAAUACCCGGCGGAACUGACGGUACCUGAGGAAUAAGCACCGGCUAACUUCGUGCCAGCAGCCGCGGUAAUACGAAGGGUGCAAGCGUUAAUCGGAAUUACUGGGCGUAAAGCGUGCGUAGGCGGUUUCUUAAGUCUGCUGUGAAAUCCCCGGGCUCAACCUGGGAAUGGCAGUGGAUACUGGGAGGCUAGAGUGUGUCAGAGGGUGGUGGAAUUCCCGGUGUAGCGGUGAAAUGCGUAGAGAUCGGGAGGAACAUCAGUGGCGAAGGCGGCCACCUGGGACAACACUGACGCUGAGGCACGAAAGCGUGGGGAGCAAACAGGAUUAGAUACCCUGGUAGUCCACGCCCUAAACGAUGCGAACUGGAUGUUGGUCUCAACUCGGAGAUCAGUGUCGAAGCUAACGCGUUAAGUUCGCCGCCUGGGGAGUACGGUCGCAAGACUGAAACUCAAAUGAAUUGACGGGGUCAUAGCUGUUUCCUG